ACCCUGAAUAACCCCCUCUGCAGACAUAACCAGUGCUAAGGUAGGGCCUGCUGGAGCCAGGUACCAACGAAAGGAGGAAAGGCUGGCCCAAAGAUGCUUGGCAAAGGAAGUUCUGGAGAGAGUCGGCUCGAGAGCCUGAGAACCAUUUAUUCAACCUUUGCUUGAGGGUCAGGUUUUCUCAUUUCUGAGCUCAGCACUUGGUGUACCUGUUCAUUGUAUCUUCCUAGUCAUACCCCAUCCCCCAAGCCCAACUCUAUCUCCUAGAAUCCCAAACUUGGAGGGAGGAGGCCAACCGGCUGCAAAUCCUUCUCCAGGAGGAGUCCCCAGAGGCUGAAGAACAAUGUCCUGGUGGUGUUGGUGUGGCGCCUGGACAGUUGUGAAUCAAACUGAGAAACUGAGACCAGGAAGAUCCUGAGCCACACAACAUUGGAGGUGUCUCCGGCCAUUUGCAAUGGGUACAAAGUCAACGAAGUCACAUGUGGAGGAUGAAGCAGAAAAUCCACUUAGAACCAGGCGGCCUGGGAGACACGGGUUUACGAGGACUGUUGGAUUUCGAAUAAUUCACCUGUCAGCUUUGUGGAUUCUUGCCCCAGAUUUGCUCCUUUGCUUCUCUGGCUCAGUGGUUCCUACUCUGUCAACAAGGUGAGGACAAAAAAAAAAAAAAAAAAAAAAAUUGGAUGGCUGAAAAUAUUGCCUUCCCUUCCAAAGGAGUCCACCUGAAAUUAGACGCAGUUAGAACAGCAUUACAUUUUAAAAACACAGCUUGC
Molecule: long non-coding RNA, 767 nt
Filed under: Felis catus (domestic cat)
Lineage: Eukaryota; Metazoa; Chordata; Mammalia; Carnivora; Felidae
Description: lncRNA (ENSFCAG00000051270.1)
Source: RNAcentral